This 254-nucleotide ribosomal RNA is filed under the name uncultured bacterium. RNAcentral's name for it is "partial 16S ribosomal RNA". It matches the Rfam family "Bacterial small subunit ribosomal RNA", at positions 524 to 776 of the family's 1533-position model. The record is from RNAcentral.
UACGUAGGGGGCAAGCGUUGUCCGGAUUUAUUGGGCGUAAAGAGCUCGUAGGCGGCUUAGCAAGUCGGGUGUGAAACCUCCAGGCUCAACCUGGAGCUGCCACUCGAUACUGCUAUGGCUUGAGUCCGGUAGGGGACCACGGAAUUCCUGGUGUAGCGGGGAAAUGCGCAGAUAUCAGGAGGAACACCAGUGGCGAAGGCGGUGGGCGGGGCCGGAACUGACGCUGAGGAGCGAAAGCGGGGGUAGCAAACAGU